CUCGGCGGCGCGGCCAUGGCAGCCUCGCAGCGAGCGGCGACCCCGGCGGCCGCCCGCCUCCAGUCCCCGGGAGAUUCCAGCCCCGGAGCGCAGGCCGCCCAGUCCCAACGCGAAGACCCCUCGGAGGCUGCGACGGCGGCGGCCGCGGCCUUGAGGGACGAGGAAGACGGAGAGGAGGCGGCGCCGCGGGCGCAGGCGCGGGCUGAUUUUAACACCAACAUUUCUGAGGUAGAUGAACAAACACAAAUAAGCGAUGAGGACUUUGUGGACUUUUCUGAUAUUUGCCACUCUAAUGAAGAGUAUUUUAGGAAACUAGAAGAGCUGAAAGCUGCCCACUUGGAAACUAUGGCAAAGUUAGAGAAAAUGUACCAGAAUAAAUUAAAUUUAAAAGUUCAGCCAGUGAUCAUCAGAGAAGAAGCUUCUAGUGUCUCUUCCAGGUCUGAAUCAGAAAAGAACUCUUAUCACCCUAUCUCAUUAAUGACAUCUUCAGAGCCUGAUUUAGGGCCGUCUUCCUCCUUGAUUAUGUCUUCCUCUGAAGAUGAGUUGCCCAACUUAGAAAAAGAGUAUCCUGAGAAAAAGAGGGUAGUGAUGAGCUACGCAAAAGAGCUCAUCAACAACAUGUGGACAAACUUUUCUGUUGAAGAUUAUAUUCGGUGUGAAGAUGCUUACUUCCCAGCCGUUGAAAAAACAAAGAAGAAACCAAGAGAAUGGGUGCCAAAGAUUACGGUUCCUGAGCCUUUUCAGAUGAUGAUUAGGGAACAGAGGAAGAAAGAAGAGAACAUGAAAUCAAAAUCAGAUAUUGAAAUGGUACACCAACUGCUCAAAAAACAAGAAGAAGAAUCAGAGUGUAAGAAAAAAUUCCGAGCCACUCCAGUUCCUGCAUUUGUCUUUUUCCCCCUUUAUCAUGACCUAGUCAAGCAAAAUGAAGACCGCAGAAAGCGUUUGAAGGAAAAGAACAAAGAAGCUCUUCUGGCCUCACAAAAGCCAUUUAAGUUCAUUGCAAGAGAGGAACAGAAGCAAGCAAUCCGGGAAAAGAAGCUGAGAGACUUGUUUAAGUCUAAAAAGAAAACAAAUCGAUUUAAGGCCAGACCUGUGCCUCGAUCUACUUAUGGCUCAGCUACCAAAGAGAAGUUAAAAGAAGAGGAGCUCUAUAGAGACAUUAUGACACAGCUGAAAGCCCAAGAGCUCUUGCAGAAUCCAUCCCCUUUACCUUCUAGGUCAGGUCACAAAAGUUGUGCUCCAAGGAAGCUCAAGCGUCCUGAGCAGCCUGAAAGACUGAAGUGUACACACAAGUUUAGAUGCCAGAUUGCUGAUUUUGAAAAGCUUCCUGAGGGAUACCAGAAACACCUCUCAGAACAGAAGUGUUCAAAACUCCCAACCUCCCAUAAACCACCCAAUCUUCACGCAGCCUCCACUGCAUCCACUAAAAGAGAGAAAAUUUUGGCAGACAUUGCAGCAGAUGAGGAACAUUCAAAAGAAACACGGUCUUUUCUGUCUCCAAGAAACAAGUCACCAGGAAGAAGUGCAAGUGCAAAGCCUGUGCCUUGUAACUGCCCCCCUCCAAUGCCCACAGUGUCUUCCAGAGGGAGAGAACAAGCCACAAGGAGAUCACUUGAGGAAAAGAAAAUGUUGGAAGAAGAGAGAAAUCGGAUCCUAACUAAGCAGAAGCAAAGAAUGAAAGAAUUGCAGAAACUCCUGACAAUCCGGGCUAAAGCUUAUGACUCCCAUCAAAGUUUAGCUCAGAUGUCUAAAUCCAGAGUCAAAUCUCUCAGAAAGAGUGAAAAGGAAAGGAUGAGAGAAUACCAACAAGAACUAGAAGAAAGAGAAGAAAAAUUAAAAAACAGGCCGCUACUGUUUGAAAGAGUUGCUCAGAAAAAUGCAAGAAUGGCAGCAGAAAAGCGUUAUUCUAACACCCUAAAAGCAUUAGGACUAUCUGAUGAGUUUGUUUCAAAGAAAGGCCAAAGUGGAAAAGUAUUUGAGUACUUCAGCAAUCAAGAGAUGAAGAAUUUCACUGAAGAUAAAGAAAGAUUUGUCAGACUUCAACAAAUCUAUGUUCCCAGAGAAACAAUGAAAGAAGAGUGUCCAGGCGCUCCUGGUCCCAGAGGCUCCUUCAUCUCAGCGGGUGACCUGACCUCAUGUACAGGAAUCAAGGAGGCAAGCGGGCUUGACCAAUGGAACGUAGAAAAGGCCCACAGAGAUUCCUGGCUGAAUACAGACAAGCCCAUCAGGAGACCCACCUCAAAAUAUCUAGAGGUCCUAACCGAUCAAUGGGUUACUUACUACCAGGCACAGUCUCCCAAAAAGGAUCCACCUUUUCUUCUCUGGGACAGCUGGAGCUUUGAUUGGAAUAAAUAGCAGCUCGGAGGUGAUUACACUUUGACUCUUCCACACAGGGGUGUGACUUCAGUGGACAGAAGGUCAUAUGCCCAAAAGAAGAUUGAUUCUGCAGCCUCAUCUGUGCCCUGAGAGGCUGACUUAUAUGGACUGAGCACUGGGCUCCCUGCCUCCCAAUUUCUAUUUGGGUUCAGCGAAUGGGAGGGCGGAUGGGUACUGGUAAAGGUAGAAAACUGGUAAGAGAGUGAGGAAGGGGUGUUUAUGUCUUGGGCUUCCUGCCUGCUGCAUUGCCAUAGGUUGACCGUUUCCCUUUGCCCAAGUCACUGCUCCUGUUAGGUCGUCCUCACCAUGAAGUUCACUCUCAAGGGUUCAGCAGCCAUCCCUCCUCCUCGCCCUUUCAAGCAUAAGUGUGGAAAUUGCUCCCUGCUGUUACUAGACUUGGGACAUGAUACCAUCCUUUCUUU
Molecule: RNA transcript, 2798 nt
Organism: Canis lupus familiaris (dog)
Lineage: Eukaryota; Metazoa; Chordata; Mammalia; Carnivora; Canidae
Gene: FAM161A
Gene name: FAM161 centrosomal protein A
Exons: 11
Source: RefSeq, a predicted model, not a curated record